UAAUACGGAGGGUGCAAGCGUUAAUCGGAAUUACUGGGCGUAAAGCGCGCGUAGGCGGUUUGAUAAGUCGGGUGUGAAAGCCCCGGGCUUAACUUGGGAAUGGCAUUCGAUACUGUCAAGCUAGAGUAUGGUAGAGGGAAGCGGAAUUCCGCAUGUAGCGGUGAAAUGCGUAGAUAUGCGGAGGAACACCAGUGGCGAAGGCGGCUUCCUGGACCAAUACUGACGCUGAGGCGCGAAAGCGUGGGGAGCAAACAGGAUUAGAUACCCUGGUAGUCCACGCCGUAAACGAUGAGAACUAGAUGUUGGGGGGAUUAAACCCCUUAGUGUCACAGCUAACGCGUUAAGUUCUCCGCCUGGGGAGUACGGCCGCAAGGUUA
This 377-nucleotide ribosomal RNA is filed under the name uncultured bacterium. Its description in RNAcentral is "bacterial SSU rRNA". It matches the Rfam family "Bacterial small subunit ribosomal RNA", at positions 521 to 896 of the family's 1533-position model. The record is from RNAcentral.